CAGUAGCCGCGGUAAUGCGUAGGUGGCAAGCGUUGUCCGGAAUUAUUGGGCGUAAAGCGCGCGCAGGCGGAUCAGUCAGUCUGUCUUAAAAGUACGGGGCUUAACCCCGUGAUGGGAUGGAAACUGCUGAUCUAGAGUAUCGGAGAGGAAAGUGGAAUUCCUAGCGUAGCGGUGAAAUGCGUAGAUAUUAGGAAGAACACCAGUGGCGAAGGCGACUUUCUGGACGAAAACUGACGCUGAGGCGCGAAAGCCAGGGGAGCGAACGGGAUUAGAUACCCCAGUAGUCCCUGUCUCUUAUACA
Molecule: ribosomal RNA, 301 nt
Filed under: uncultured bacterium
Lineage: Bacteria
Description: partial 16S ribosomal RNA
Rfam family: Bacterial small subunit ribosomal RNA
Source: RNAcentral